RNAcentral lists this ribosomal RNA (514 nucleotides) under Streptomyces albidoflavus. RNAcentral's name for it is "bacterial LSU rRNA". It matches the Rfam family "Bacterial large subunit ribosomal RNA", at positions 1 to 445 of the family's 2925-position model. The record is from RNAcentral. Lineage: Bacteria; Bacillati; Actinomycetota; Actinomycetes; Kitasatosporales; Streptomycetaceae.
ACAGUGGACGCGAGCAUCUGUGGCCAAGUUUUUAAGGGCGCACGGUGGAUGCCUUGGCACCAGGAACCGAUGAAGGACGUGGGAGGCCACGAUAGUCCCCGGGGAGUCGUCAACCAGGCUUUGAUCCGGGGGUUUCCGAAUGGGGAAACCCGGCAGUCGUCAUGGGCUGUCACCCGCUGCUGAACUCAUAGGCAGUGUGGAGGGAACGCGGGGAAGUGAAACAUCUCAGUACCCGCAGGAAGAGAAAACAACCGUGAUUCCGGGAGUAGUGGCGAGCGAAACUGGAUGAGGCCAAACCGUAUGUGUGUGAUACCCGGCAGGGGUUGCGCAUGCGGGGUUGUGGGAUCUCUCUUCCACGGUCUGCCGGCCGUGGGACGAGUCAGAAACCGUUGAUGUAGGCGAAGGACAUGCGAAAGGUCCGGCGUAGAGGGUAAGACCCCCGUAGUCGAAACAUUAGCGGCUCGUUUGAGAGACACCCAAGUAGCACGGGGCCCGAGAAAUCCCGUGUGAAUCU